AUUGGGAUUCCUUUAGUAGCGGCGAGCGAAACGGGAUCAGCCCAUCACGUAGGAUCGUAGGCUUAGUUGUCUACUGAUCGGUUCCGUGUAUAGGAGGGUCCAUCUUUCUUGCACAUAUAACCAUCAUAUUUAAGUCCAGCUUGAAUGCGGCUCAAUAUACCCAGAGAGGGUGCCAGGCCCGUUUAUGUAUGAUGCUUGUGUAAGUGGGCUACAAACUCCUAGGAGUCAUGUUGCUUGAUAGUGCAGCAUAAAGUGGGAGGUAAACUCCUUCUAAGGCUAAAUAUUACCAUGAGACCGAUAGCGAACAAGUACCGUGAGGGAAAGUUGAAAAGCACUCUGAAUAGAGAGUCAAAUAGUACGUGAAACUGUCUAGGGGCUCAAACCUAAAGAACCCAAAUAUCUAAACGGAGAGAUUCAAUACUGAACUUAACACUCAGUGUGCACUUCUCUCUUAGUAAGACGCCGUGAUCCAUUAGAAAUUGGUAGACGCCAGUCUAUAUGAGGUCAUCAAUGGGCUUGCAUGAAGUUUAUUGGAACGAAUGGCAUGAUCUUUCAACGGUCGUGUGUAUUGUCUGGUAAGCGUGCGAGUACUCGUAAUGACUGUCUGAUGGAUUUUAAAGAUUAUAUCAUUGAUGUUACGGCAUCACUUACUUCGGUGAGUUUACGAUAUAUAUCCGAUCAACGGCGGUUAAAUUUGGGAUACCUUUUGGACCCGUCUUGAAACACGGACCAAGGAGUCUAUCUAAUGUGCGAGUAAAUGAGUUGUAAACUUAUUUGCGUAAUAAACGUAACUGUUAUGGGAUUACGAGUCUCACUCGUGUGGCUCUUCCAUCCCGGAGUAUUUUCAUCCACAUAUACGCAAGUAUAUGGAAAAUAUAUCAUGAGCAUGUUGGAUACGACCCGAAAGAUGGUGAACUAUGCUUGAUCAGGUCGAAGUCAGG
RNAcentral lists this ribosomal RNA (941 nucleotides) under Pontomyia pacifica. Its description in RNAcentral is "eukaryotic LSU rRNA". It matches the Rfam family "Eukaryotic large subunit ribosomal RNA", at positions 68 to 856 of the family's 3401-position model. Lineage: Eukaryota; Metazoa; Arthropoda; Insecta; Diptera; Chironomidae. The record is from RNAcentral.